GCCGACGUGGUGAAAACGGUAGACACGCCAUCUUGAUGUUGUGGUGGCGCAUGCUGUAUGAGUUCGAGUCUCAUCGUCGGCA
Molecule: transfer RNA, 82 nt
Filed under: Candidatus Tremblayella princeps
Lineage: Bacteria; Pseudomonadati; Pseudomonadota; Betaproteobacteria
Description: Candidatus Tremblaya princeps tRNA-Ile(GAT)
Rfam family: tRNA
About the family: Transfer RNA (tRNA) molecules are approximately 80 nucleotides in length. Their secondary structure includes four short double-helical elements and three loops (D, anti-codon, and T loops). Further hydrogen bonds mediate the characteristic L-shaped molecular structure. tRNAs have two regions of fundamental functional importance: the anti-codon, which is responsible for specific mRNA codon recognition, and the 3' end, to which the tRNAs corresponding amino acid is attached (by aminoacyl-tRNA synthetases). tRNAs cope with the degeneracy of the genetic code in two manners: having more than one tRNA (with a specific anti-codon) for a particular amino acid; and 'wobble' base-pairing, i.e. permitting non-standard base-pairing at the 3rd anti-codon position.
Source: RNAcentral